AGUGAACGCUGGCGGUAGGCCUAACACAUGCAAGUCGAACGGCAGCACAGUAAGAGCUUGCUCUUACGGGUGGCGAGUGGCGGACGGGUGAGGAAUACAUCGGAAUCUACUUUUUCGUGGGGGAUAACGUAGGGAAACUUACGCUAAUACCGCAUACGACCUACGGGUGAAAGCAGGGGAUCUUCGGACCUUGCGCGAUUGAAUGAGCCGAUGUCGGAUUAGCUAGUUGGCGGGGUAAAGGCCCACCAAGGCGACGAUCCGUAGCUGGUCUCAGAGGAUGAUCAGCCACACUGUAACUGAGACACGGUCCAUACUCCUACGGGAGGCAGCAGUGGGGAAUAUUGGACAAUGGGCGCAAGCCUGAUCCAGCCAUACCGCGUGGGUGAAGAAGGCCUUCGGGUUGUAAAGCCCUUUUGUUGGGAAAGAAAAGCAGCAGGUUAAUACCCCGCUGUUCUGACGGUACCCAAAGAAUAAGCACCGGCUAACUUCGUG
Molecule: ribosomal RNA, 492 nt
Filed under: uncultured bacterium
Lineage: Bacteria
Description: partial 16S ribosomal RNA
Rfam family: Bacterial small subunit ribosomal RNA
Source: RNAcentral